ACAGCAGUCGCCACGGUAAUACGUAGGUCCCGAGCGUUGUCCGGAUUUAUUGGGCGUAAAGCGAGCGCAGGCGGUUAGAAAAGUCUGAAGUGAAAGGCAGUGGCUCAACCUUUGUAGGCUUUGGAAACUGUUUAACUUGAGUGCAAGAGGGGAGAGUGGAAUUCCAUGUGUAGCGGUGAAAUGCGUAGAUAUAUGGAGGAACACCGGUGGCGAAAGCGGCUCUCUGGCUUGUAACUGACGCUGAGGCUCGAAAGCGUGGGGAGCAAACAGGAUUAGAUACCCCAGUAGUCCCUGUCUCUUAUACA
This 305-nucleotide ribosomal RNA is filed under the name uncultured bacterium. Its description in RNAcentral is "partial 16S ribosomal RNA". It matches the Rfam family "Bacterial small subunit ribosomal RNA", at positions 505 to 808 of the family's 1533-position model. The record is from RNAcentral.